Molecule: long non-coding RNA, 1017 nt
Filed under: Nicotiana benthamiana
Lineage: Eukaryota; Viridiplantae; Streptophyta; Magnoliopsida; Solanales; Solanaceae
Description: long non-coding RNA (NBEN_LNC038710)
Source: RNAcentral
GCUCAUGGGAAACAGGAUUGUUAGCAAUAUGAACAGCAGCCUGACUUUCACAAAACACAGAAAAUGGAAGAGAAACAGAGACACCAAGAUCAACUAAUAAACGAGACAACCAAGAUAAUUCGGCAACAACUUUGCUAAGGGCUCGAUAUUCUGCCUCAGUAGAAGAUAAGGAAACCACAGGUUGCUUCUUUGAUUUACAACUAAUCAGGCAACCACCCAAUAACACACAAAACCCAGUAAUAGAUCUCCUUGUAUCAGGGCAGGCAACCCGGUCACUAUCAGAAUAACCAACAAUAGAGAAAUCAUCACUGGCAGAAUAAAAGAGACCCAUAGAAGGAGUGCCUUUAAGGUAUCUCAAAACAUGUAGGGCAGCAGUCAUAUGGGGANNNNNNNCGGUCACUAUCAGAAUAACCAACAAUAGAGAAAUCAUCACUGGCAGAAUAAAAGAGACCCAUAGAAGAAGUGCCUUUGAGGUAUCGCAAAACAUGUAGUAGAGCAGGAGUCAUAUGGGGAAGUCUGGGGCAUGUUAGAAAUUGACUCAGAUGUUGAACAGCAAAACAUAUGUCAGGCCUGGUACGUGUCAGAAAUAACAGCUUACCAACAAGACUCCUAUACUGAUCAGGAGAGGUUAAAAGGUCACUAGAAUCAACAUGAAGUUUGACAUUAAUAUCCAAAGGACAAACAACAGAGGAUACAUUGGUACAGUCAAACUGAUGCAGCAAGUCAGAGACAUAUUUAUGCUGAUUAAGGAUCAUUCCACCAAGAACAACUAACAUUUCUAUGCCCAAAAAUAAUGCAAAGACCCUAGGUCUUUGAUUUUAAACUGAUUAUCCAGAAACAUUUUCAGGGCAGUAAUUUCAUCACUGUCAUCCCCAGUAAGAAUAAUAUCAUCCACAUAGACUGCCACAAUCACAAGGGACCCAAGUUUACCUUUGAUGAACAAAGAAUAGUCAUUCAAAGAAUGUGUGUACCCUCUGGAAUAAAGAGCAGAAGACAAUUUGGCAUACCAUUGUNNNN